AACGCGAAGAACCUUACCUGCCCUUGACAUGCCAGGAAGUCUGCAGAGAUGCAGAUGUGCCUUCGGGAACCUGGACACAGGUGCUGCAUGGCUGUCGUCAGCUCGUGUCGUGAGAUGUUGGGUUAAGUCCCGUAACGAGCGCAACCCUUGUCCUUAGUUGCCAACGCGUAAUGGCGGGAACUCUAAGGAGACUGCCGGUGACAAACCGGAGGAAGGUGGGGAUGACGUCAAGUCCUCAUGGCCCUUAUGGGCAGGGCUACACACGUGUUACAAUGGUCGGUACAGAGGGUUGCCAACCCGCGAGGGGGAGCUAAUCCCGAAAAACCGAUCUCAGUCCGGAUUGAGGUCUGCAACUCGACCCCAUGAAGUUGGAAUCGCUAGUAAUCGUGGAUCAGAACGCCACGGUGAAUACGUUCCCGGGCCUUGUACACACCGCGAGC
This 440-nucleotide ribosomal RNA is filed under the name uncultured bacterium. RNAcentral describes it as "bacterial SSU rRNA". It matches the Rfam family "Bacterial small subunit ribosomal RNA", at positions 958 to 1397 of the family's 1533-position model. The record is from RNAcentral.